RNAcentral lists this ribosomal RNA (1688 nucleotides) under Tomato witches'-broom phytoplasma. Its description in RNAcentral is "bacterial SSU rRNA". The stretch from base 1 to 1394 matches the Rfam family "Bacterial small subunit ribosomal RNA". The record is from RNAcentral. Lineage: Bacteria; Bacillati; Mycoplasmatota; Mollicutes; Acholeplasmatales; Acholeplasmataceae.
UAGGGAUGAAACGACUGCUAAGACUGGAUAGGAAGAAAUAAGGCAUCUUUUUUCUUUUAAAAGACCUAGUGAUAGGUAUACUUUAGGAGGGGCUUGCGCCAUAUUAGUUAGUUGGUAGGGUAAUGGCCUACCAAGACGAUGAUGUGUAGCUGGACUGAGAGGUUGAACAGCCACAUUGGGACUGAGACACGGCCCAAACUCCUACGGGAGGCAGCAGUAGGGAAUUUUCGGCAAUGGAGGAAACUCUGACCGAGCAACGCCGCGUGAACGACGAAGUACUUUGGUAUGUAAAGUUCUUUUAUCAAGGAAGAAAAGCAAGUGGUGAACCAUUUGUUUGCCGGUACUUGAUGAAUAAGCCCCGGCUAAUUAUGUGCCAGCAGCCGCGGUAAGACAUAAGGGGCAAGUGUUAUCCGGAAUUAUUGGGCGUAAAGGGUGCGUAGGCGGUCUAGUAAGUCAGUGGUGUAAUGGCAACGCUCAACGUUGUCCGGCUAUUGAAACUGCUAAACUUGAGUUAGAUAGAGGCGAGUGGAAUUCCAUGUGUAGCGGUAAAAUGCGUAAAUAUAUGGAGGAACACCAGAGGCGUAGGCGGCUCGCUGGGUCUUAACUGACGCUGAGGCACGAAAGCGUGGGGAGCAAACAGGAUUAGAUACCCUGGUAGUCCACGCCGUAAACGAUGAGUACUAAGUGUCGGGUUAAACCGGUACUGAAGUUAACACAUUAAGUACUCCGCCUGAGUAGUACGUACGCAAGUAUGAAACUUAAAGGAAUUGACGGGACUCCGCACAAGCGGUGGAUCAUGUUGUUUAAUUCGAAGAUACCCGAAAAACCUUACCAGGUCUUGACAUGUUUUUGCAAAAUGAUAGUAAUAUCGUGGAGGUUACCAGAAACACAGGUGGUGCAUGGUUGUCGUCAGCUCGUGUCGUGAGAUGUUAGGUUAAGUCCUAAAACGAGCGAAACCCUUAUCGUUAGUUGCCAGCACGUUAUGGUGGGGACUUUAACGAGACUGCCAAUGAUAAAUUGGAGGAAGGUGAGGAUCACGUCAAAUCAGCAUGCCCCUUAUGACCUGGGCUACAAACGUGAUACAAUGGCUGUUACAAAGGGUAGCUGAAACGCAAGUUCUUGGCCAAUCCCCAAAAACAGUCCCAGUCCGGAUUGAAGUCUGCAACUCGACUUCAUGAAGUUGGAAUCGCUAGUAAUCGCGAAUCAACAUGUCGCGGUGAAUACGUUCUCGGGGUUUGUACACACCGCCCGUCAAACCACGAAAGUUGGCAAUACCCCAAAACGGUAGCCUAACUCGUUUAUUCGAGAGGGCGCCGUCUAAGGUAGGGUCGAUGAUUGGGGUUAAGUCGUAACAAGGUAUCCCUACCGGAAGGUGGGGAUGGAUCACCUCCUUUCUAAGGAAACCAAUAAAAUCAAUCAUCUUCAGUUUUGAAAGACUUAGGCAACUAAGUUUUUCUUCGUGACUUCACGAAGGGCCUAUAGCUCAGUUGGUUAGAGCACACGCCUGAUAAGCGUGAGGUCGGUGGUUCAAGUCCAUUUAGGCCCACCAGAGUUAUAGGUUUCGUAAGAACACAAAUUCUUUGAAAAUUAGGUAAAUAAUAGUUAUUUAUCCGGAACAUUAAAGGAAAUAAGAGCGCACAGUGGAUGCCUAGGCACCAAGAGCCGAUGAAGGACGAAUCUAGAUGCAU